CACCAGAAAUCCCUCAGAUCAACAAUUGGUAUUGCAGCCCAACCAUCUCAGUAGGUGUUCAUAAACUUCCAUUUAGAAAUAAUCACUUAAUCACCCUAAGUUACUGUCACUUACGAAAAUGAAAAGGAUGUUACUAUCAUCAACGGUAUCAUCAGUAACAUCUACAAGUUUGCUAAUACUACUUCACCUGUGAAAAUCCAUUUGUUUAAUGACAAACACGUGUUUGGAUGACAUGUUGAUUAAGUACAAUGCCCUGAGCAAACUGGCACUUAAAUUGUUUAUACAACUCUCUUACGACUUCUUAAAUUGCAGCACUUGGUAAUAUUUGGACAUAUUUUUAUAUGUUGCUAUACAAAGUGCAGGCAACUUAUUUAUAAGAAAUACGAUUUGCUGCUCACAGAUCAAAUUCUUUGCAGUGAUGAGAUGGAUUUUGGACAUCCACUGCAGCCAGGGUAAUGCCUUCCUCCUGCAAACAAGCACCUCUGAAGGUGUCUGUGUGUGGCAUCUCUCGAUGGUGAGUCCUGGGGUUUUGGCCUGCUAUUGUCAGACCCCACCGCGCUGGACAUGAGUGCAGGAAAUCUGGAGUCCAGAAAUCAAUGAAUAAAUUGCCAUCAUCCAGUGAAUAAAACAGUCGUCCAGUCAUCUGACAAGGAAGAUUUACUUAAAUGAACCAGCUCUGAGUCCAGCAGGGCUACUCACAUGACGACAGAAGAGUGAACAGGGAGAGGCAUUCCCUAAGGCACAGUCAAAAGGGCACAGAGGCAAGGCUGUGGAAUAUGAGGUUUGAUCAGUGUCUGAAAGGGACAUAUCCCCAACUUGCAUGAGAUCAUCGUGAGUGAAACUGUCUUUGAGUGUUGAAAAUCCAGUCCUGCAUUUUCAAGGCCAUGUAAUUGAGGUAUUUUGUGAUAUAAAUAUAAUUCACAGAUUGUGCUUCAAUUUUAUUGUUAAUUCUGCCACUGUAACUGUUGCUAUCUUAGU
Long non-coding RNA from Gallus gallus (chicken), 978 nucleotides. RefSeq lists it as uncharacterized. The record is from RefSeq and is a predicted model, not a curated record. The transcript has 5 exons. Lineage: Eukaryota; Metazoa; Chordata; Aves; Galliformes; Phasianidae.